Molecule: ribosomal RNA, 254 nt
Filed under: uncultured bacterium
Lineage: Bacteria
Description: partial 16S ribosomal RNA
Rfam family: Bacterial small subunit ribosomal RNA
Source: RNAcentral
UACGUAGGGCGCAAGCGUUGUCCGGAAUUAUUGGGCGUAAAGAGCUCGUAGGCGGUCUGUCACGUCUGCCGUGAAAACCCGAGGCUUAACCUCGUGGCUUGCGGUGGAUACGGGCAGACUAGAGUGCGGUAGGGGAGACUGGAAUUCCUGGUGUAGCGGUGAAAUGCGCAGAUAUCAGGAGGAACACCGGUGGCGAAGGCGGGUCUCUGGGCCGUAACUGACGCUGAGGAGCGAAAGCGUGGGGAGCGAACAGG